CGUUUUCAAGCUUCCUUUUCUUCAUCAAACAUCAUCACAAGCAUUCUGGACUGGAUCUGGAUCAUUUGGAGCAUUGGAUCGUGCAUUGCAAGGAACUGCUCUUCAAGAGGUGAGUUUUUCGAGCUCCAUAAUUCUCAAAUUCAUGCACAUGUUCAUGUAGAUCUUGUGUUCCUAAUGAUUCUGGUGAAAAUUUCAUGUGAAAUAGUGCAUUAUUGAGCAAGAUAUGUGUGAUUCAAGUUUG
Molecule: long non-coding RNA, 241 nt
Filed under: Lathyrus oleraceus (garden pea)
Lineage: Eukaryota; Viridiplantae; Streptophyta; Magnoliopsida; Fabales; Fabaceae
Description: Pisum sativum (pea) long non-coding RNA (PSAT_LNC018847)
Source: RNAcentral